UCCUACGGGAGGCAGCAGUGGGGAAUAUUGCACAAUGGGCGCAAGCCUGAUGCAGCCAUGCCGCGUGUAUGAAGAAGGCCUUCGGGUUGUAAAGUACUUUCAGCGGGGAGGAAGGCGAUGCGGUUAAUAACCGCGUCGAUUGACGUUACCCGCAGAAGAAGCACCGGCUAACUCUGUGCCAGCAGCCGCGGUAAUACGUAGGUGGCAAGCGUUGUCCGGAUUUACUGGGCGUAAAGAGUAUGUAGGUGGGUGCUUAAGUCAGAUGUGAAAUUCCCGGGCUUAACCUGGGCGCUGCAUUUGAAACUGGGCAUCUAGAGUGCAGGAGAGGAAAGUGGAAUUCCUAGUGUAGCGGUGAAAUGCGUAGAGAUUAGGAAGAACACCAGUGGCGAAGGCGACUUCCUGGACUGUAACUGACACUGAGAUACGAAAGCGUGGGUAGCAAACAGGAUUAGAUACCCUGGUAGUCC
Molecule: ribosomal RNA, 467 nt
Filed under: uncultured bacterium
Lineage: Bacteria
Description: bacterial SSU rRNA
Rfam family: Bacterial small subunit ribosomal RNA
Source: RNAcentral